Molecule: ribosomal RNA, 433 nt
Filed under: uncultured bacterium
Lineage: Bacteria
Description: partial 16S ribosomal RNA
Rfam family: Bacterial small subunit ribosomal RNA
Source: RNAcentral
AACGAACGCUGGCGGCAUGCCUAACACAUGCAAGUCGAACGAGACCUUCGGGUAUAGUGGCGCACGGGUGCGUAACGCGUGGGAACCUGCCCUUAGGUUCGGAAUAACUCCCCGAAAGGGGUGCUAAUACCGGAUAAUGUCUUCGGACCAAAGAUUUGUCGCCUUUGGAUGGGCCGGCGUUGGAUUAGCUAGUUGGUAGGGUAAAAGCCUACCAAGGCGACGAUCCAUAGCUGGUCUGAGAGGAUGAUCAGCCACACUGGGACUGAGACACGGCCCAGACUCCUACGGGAGGCAGGAGUGGGGAAUAUUGGACAAUGGGCGAUAGGCUGAUCCAGCAAUGCCGCGUGAGUGAUGAAGGCCUUAGGGUUGUAAAGCUCUUUUACCCGGGAUGAUAAUGACAGUACCGGGAGAAUAAGCUCCGGCUAACUCCGUG